Jeotgalibacillus soli is the source of this 112-nucleotide regulatory RNA element. It matches the Rfam family "epsC RNA". NCBI's taxonomy places the organism in Bacteria, Bacillati, Bacillota, Bacilli, Caryophanales, Caryophanaceae. The record is from Rfam.
UGGUGAAGCCUACUUGCCUUUAUCUAAGUAGGCACUCGGUCAUGCUGUGGGUUGAAAGAUACCUUAGACGCAAGUCGUCGAAAGUGUGGUGUGAGGAUGGGUUGGAUGCCCA